CCUACGGGUGGCAGCAGUGAGGAAUAUUGGUCAAUGGACGAGAGUCUGAACCAGCCAAGUAGCGUGAAGGAUGACUGCCCUCUGGGUUGUAAACUUCUUUUAUAUGGGAAUAAAAUGUUCCACGUGUGGGACUUUGUAUGUUACAUAUGAAUAAGGAACGGCUAACUCCGUGCCAGCAGCCGCGGUAAAACGGGGUAUCCGAGCGUUAUCCGGGUUUAUUGGGUGUUAAGGGAGCGUAGGUGGAUUGUUAAGUCAGUUGUGAAAGUUUGCCGCUCAACCGUAAAAUGGCAGGUGAAACUGGCAGUCUUGAGUAGAGUAGAGGUGGGAGGAAUUGGUGGUGUAGCGGUGAAAUGCGUAGAUAUCACGAAGAACGCCGAUUGCGAAGGCAGAUCACUGGCCUGCAACUGACACUGAGGAUCGAAAGUGUGGGGAACAAACAGGAUUAGCUAACCAGUC
RNAcentral lists this ribosomal RNA (456 nucleotides) under uncultured bacterium. RNAcentral describes it as "partial 16S ribosomal RNA". It matches the Rfam family "Bacterial small subunit ribosomal RNA", at positions 338 to 791 of the family's 1533-position model. The record is from RNAcentral.